GCAAAUGACUGUAGCAGAACUGAAUGAGCUUUGAUUGCUCCCCUCUCCGCGCAUCUCAGAAGGUCACAGCUCAGGAGACUGAAGUGUCAUUAUAGUGAAACGCCUGCAAUAAGCAGAUGGCCAGCAACAGUGACAGUGUGUUUGCUGAAGCGUUGGAUCCUCGGUCCGUUAGAUUUAUUUCCCUACAGUAGGCGACACCAGGAUGCAUCUUACUGUGAGUUUAGGUAACAAUGUGAUUUGAGGCUCAGCCAUCUUUAUUACGUGUUUAAUUAUAUUUGUUUGGAGAUUAUUUGGAGAAGGAAUAAAUCCAUUUCAAUCCAUCAAGAGGAGAAGAUGCGCCACACAUGCAAGAAAACAAGAAGAGACGCACCAGACCAGGAAUGCAGGCAACAAAUAAUGACAACAGGUGUUCUGCCCAGGUAAAGGCAAGACGCACAUGCGCACGCGCUCCAGCAGCAGGUGUCAGGCGUUGGGUCAGAACCAGACAACGUUGACGUUUUAGCAGCUUUACUGUACAUUCGGAUCAAUGUGGUCACGUUAAGGUGCGCCGCAGACAUGGUUAGCGCUGCCGUCGCUGCUGAGGCCGCAGGCGGAAGCAACAAACGACGGACGCACAGUUCAAACCGAGGGAGGCAAAAGGACCGCGCACAGGAUAAGAUGGAAGAAUCCAGGAGACCCGGUUGGUGAGCUCUGCGACAAGAAAUGGCAAAAAUCCAAGCCAGAGCUGUCUGCUGCAAGAUUCUGACAUGGAAAUCUUGAUUUGCAAUCAUCAUUUUCUUGAUUUCACUGUUGCAGCCUUUUAGCUUUAUCUAAGGCUGACGUUGGGUUACAUUUCAGUGUGUUGGAACUCUGUAACGCUGGAAUUCUUUGUUUUAUUCUGUGUUUAUUCUUGUUGCAUUGUGGAAGCCAACCUACAAGGUGUGUGUUAUACUCUGUGACCCUCUGAGUAAAACACUCGCUUGUCACAUUUGAGACCUGUGUCAAGUGUUAAUGCUACUGAGAUGUUGACACCCAGAGACACAGAGUGCUCCUCCACACAGCUGUGAACAUAGUGAAGCAACAAAGAAGUGAUGAUAAGCUGAUGUUAGACACCUCGUGCUGUGUUUUCUAUUUUACCAUGAAUGUACGAUAACACUGAAGAACAACCAGAAGAUGUUGAAUUAUGUAGUGUAGUAAGAAAGGGGUCUUAAAGUUUAUUUUCUAUUUUAGAUUCAUUGAAUAACAAACACCCAAGUAUGUGACAGGUGUAUUGAAUAAAAAGGCUACUGUAUUGAAAAUUAAUUCACGUCUUCUAGGUUUCCCUUCAUGUAAAAUGUGGGGAAAGCAUUACAUCAUUACUGUUUAAAGUGUGUGCGCAGAUGUCACAUUCCCAGCAGACCACACAACCAGCAUCAACCUGGCUGCCUUCAGUAGAGGAAACUACACAAUGGGAGUUAAACCCCUGCUUAUCUGUUAUAUUAAAGGCAACUGGGCUCAGCAGUGAAUAUUACAACCUAUUGAACCACCAGUCGUCCAUAUUCUUUCACUGCUUCAUUCCUGUAGUAGAGUGACAACGCUCUGUGUCUGUGCUAAAUAAAACACAGUGGAAAAUAUUUAGACCACUAUGUGACAA
Molecule: long non-coding RNA, 1612 nt
Organism: Betta splendens (Siamese fighting fish)
Lineage: Eukaryota; Metazoa; Chordata; Actinopteri; Anabantiformes; Osphronemidae
Exons: 3
Source: RefSeq, a predicted model, not a curated record